RNAcentral lists this non-coding RNA (24 nucleotides) under Gossypium hirsutum (cotton). Lineage: Eukaryota; Viridiplantae; Streptophyta; Magnoliopsida; Malvales; Malvaceae. The record is from RNAcentral.
AGUGCGCUGAAACACAUUAUCCUC